Molecule: unclassified non-coding RNA, 181 nt
Filed under: uncultured Phaeomoniella
Lineage: Eukaryota; Fungi; Ascomycota; Eurotiomycetes; Phaeomoniellales
Description: sequence contains ITS1
Source: RNAcentral
CUGAGUUAGGGUCCUCGUGGCCCGAACCUCCAACCCUUUGUUUACAUCACUUUGUUGCUUUGGCAGGCCCGUCUUUCGGGACCGCUGGAGGGGUUCAGUCACCUCUGGCCAGUGCUUGCCAAUAGCCUAUUCAAAAUUAUUUUUUAACCAUGAAGUCUGAAAAUUAAUUAUAAUAUAAUUA